GUAAAAAUCAUAAAUUUGAAAAUAAAAACAGCACUAAUGUAUGUAUAGUUACAACUAACAACAGUAGUUCAUCUAACAAAAAAACCCCAAACAAAACAUUCAAUAAGCAGAAUAAAAAAAUAUUUACAUGUACCGUGUGCAAUCAAACUCAUUUUCUCUUUAACUGUGAAACAUUCAGAGCCCUUCCUAUAGAAAGUCGUAUUCAAAAGGCGAAAGAAUCGAACGUCUGUCUUAAUUGUUUACGGCCUGGGCACUUAGAAAAAAGUUGCAAUCUUGUGCCAUGUAAAUACUGCAAACAGAGACAUAACACACUUUUACAUCUGCAUGAACCAGUGGCUCAUUCUGAGCCCACGACUUCUGCUAUUUGUAACUUCGCUGCAUCUGGUCAUGAUGUACCGCAAAUACCGCAAUGUACUACUGCGCCGCAUGCUUUCCUGUCCACAGCGAUCGUGAAGGUGCGCGACAACGCAGGCAACGUGCAUACGGCUCGGCUGCUUCUUGACAACGGAAGUUUCUGCCACUUCGUAACGGAAUCACUCUGCGAUUCUUGAAGUCUUCUCUACUACUUCAACCCGGGCAGCAUGUUGAGUACUCGACAUACGCACGGGAGGAGACGCGCGGGCGGCGGGCGAUCGCGACGUCAUCGCGGCAGGCCUGCGAGCAGCGCGCGGCACACACACUCACCUUUACCUACCUCACCGGCAACGGACGAAUACCGAAUUAAUUUAUAAACUGUUUGGCCGGGAUUUUAAGCUGUAAUUAAGGCGGAAUAAACCA
RNAcentral lists this unclassified non-coding RNA (777 nucleotides) under Leguminivora glycinivorella. Its description in RNAcentral is "uncharacterized LOC125237942, transcript variant X1". Lineage: Eukaryota; Metazoa; Arthropoda; Insecta; Lepidoptera; Tortricidae. The record is from RNAcentral.